Pocillopora verrucosa is the source of this 1353-nucleotide non-coding RNA. NCBI's taxonomy places the organism in Eukaryota, Metazoa, Cnidaria, Anthozoa, Scleractinia, Pocilloporidae. The record is from RefSeq and is a predicted model, not a curated record.
AAUGUUUUAUUUAGUUAAAGGUAAUUAACAUAGGCUGCACGUUAGGUGGCAUACCCAUGGGUGCAGUGUAGCCCAGUGUUGUAUUUAGUAAAGGUAACUUCCUUUGGCUGCACUUUAGGUGGCACACCCAUGGGUGCUGUGUAACCCAGUGUCUUAUUUAGUUAAAGGUAAUUAACAUAGGCUGCACUUUAGGUGGCACAUCCAUGGGUGCAGUGUAACCUAGUGUUGCUAAUGAGUGACUGUAACCCAGUUCAGUUUUUUCUAGAAAGUGCUGUCCUUUAAGUAGCAUAAAGACAUGCAGACAUUCUCUUUAAGACAAUGAAAUUGGUGUGAGGGAACAUUUCUUCAAGUAGUAUGGUAGCACAAUGUUAUGUAAUUAAUGCAUUUUUCCAAAUGUUUAGUACUUUUCAGAAGCUUUAAGCAAGGGCACUUUUGUAAGAGAUUUUGGUACACAUACUGAGAUAAUUGAUUUGGAAGGCUCAGAUAUUAAAGCUGACAUGGAGCCUCGCCUUGUUCAGUGGCAAGGCAAGUUGGAUGAGCUACAUGUCUUUUUCAAGAAGUUGUGCAAGUCACGCAAAAAGUCACUAUUCACUAUUCACUAUUGUUUUUCUUGCGUUAGAUCUGCUUUUUUCGAUUCGAUUGCACCUUGACUAUUUUUGUACCGCUACUCCUCUUGCGUUAUAUUUAUUUAAAUGAGCAAUUUUUAAAAGACAGAAAAUGUCCUUCUUUCAAUAACGUGGCGGAAUAAAACAAUUACACAAAGAUGUUACUAUGAUACUUUUUGGUACGAAAUAUUUUAUUUUUGACCAGCACUGUUAUGCCUAAUUUUGUCCAUAAACGGACAAAAUUGCUCCGAUUUUGAGACGACAUUACAGCUUUUUGGCAGCGAUCGCCAAGAAACUGAAUGUGCCACGGAAUUACACCCAAUUAAGAAAGAUAUUUUCUCCCUUCCAGCAGUCAUUAGAAAGCCGUUUUGUCCCCUCAAAAUCGGAUGUAGUUCACACGUUAAGGGUAAUAAACUGAUAAAAAAUGAUUUACAAUUAUCCUGUUGUCAAUAGGUUCUUAUUCACGUAAGCUGGGUCAUAAACUAUUUCUUGCGGCAGAAUCAUGGGGAAGAAGUUGUCCUUCAUUUUAAAAUCGCUGAAAUUGUAGUAACUAAACCUUGAAUGAAACUAUUGUAGGAAGAUUCAUUACUUGACGAGGGAAUUCCGCAUUUAAUUGCACGCGAAAAGCGAUACGCGAAGCGAUGAGUGCGAUAUCGGUUUUUAAGUGCAAUUUAACGCGGAAUUCACGAGCCAAGUAAUGGAUUUUCCUUGAAUCACAUAUUUGAAUAAAAACAAGAUAAAAAGAAAA